GGAGGAAACUGCAGCACAGAGGAAACCCAUACAAACUCCAUACAGACAGCACCUCAGGUCUGGAUUUAAACUCGGGUCCCCAGCGCUGGGAAAACACUGUGCCACCAUAGAUGCAAAAUCAACUUUUUAUUCACUUGUUCUCUCAGUUAUGUAAUGGAUCCAUAGCCCUGGUCCUGGAAACCUCAAGUCCAAUUAAUCUUCCAAAGCCAUUAAAAGUUAUUAAUUAUCAGGAAGGCGUGUUGGUUAGUGAUGAAUUAAACAAGUAAUCUGUUCCAUUAAGGGAACUCAGGUUUCAGUGAUCAUAGUUAAAUUGUUCCAAGUGUACUGAAAUCUUUUAAGGAUUACACCUGGCCUACAAUGAUGUGCUUGUGAGCCAAUGACUGAAGGUACCCAUGAACCCAGAAGGACUGGGACUGUACAGAUUUAGAGAUCAGCAGGGCUAGGCAUCUACACCUUGUGGGUUGUCUGAUGCAGUCAUCCCAGCCUGCGCCUCGAUCAGCCAGGAAGAGCUGUUUAUUCAGAAAGAAGGGCAGGACAGCUGAGUUAAGGUCUGUUGUCUCCACCUGCGGGACACGGUUCCCUCUAUAAGUUGGGUAUUUCUGACACUCGGGACGGAGCAAUAAAGGUGGAUCUGCGCAGGCGGCUCCAGGAAGCCCUCAGGCAGCACUGGAGAGUGAAGACCAGCAGAGACAGGUUCUCCAGGAGCAGGGCUGGGAAACGCUGCCACCUGGAACAGCUUCCCAAACGCAGUCCUGGAGGGCAGCAGCUCUGCAGCUUUUCACUCCAGCCCGGUUCUUAAUCUAAUUAUUGGCUUAACUGCAACUGUUUCACAAUUUCUCAUCAGGCUCUGCUUCGUUUAAACUGGACUACAAAACCUGCAUGACUCCAGCCCUCCAGUACUGGAGUUCAAAACCUCUGCUGGGUGGCCUGGACUGCUCCACCCCUCCUGAUCGACCCCCAACAACCCCAGGCUCUUGCCCAUAUCCUUCCCUCUUGAGACCAGUGUCUGUUUCUGGAUGCAACAGCAACACUGUGCUGUCAAAAUGACCACGCGUAGGGCCUUCCGAUAGCAACCAGGGGAUGCGGUUUUCAAAUCCCAUCUGGAAAUAUUCAUGACUAAUUUUGAUUAUGGCAAUGUACAGGUUUUCAGAUCAUUUUUACAGUUUUUGUUCAUUUUGCUGUCGUUUCAGGCUGUGCAGCCACUGCGUAAGUCUCUGCAAUUGAGUCAAAGCACGAGAUAUGAGAAAGCAAAGUUGCCAGUACAGUGGCACCAAGAGAUUUCUGUUUUGAAAUGCUGCUCUAAAAAGCGUGUUAGCACAUCCAGUAUUAUCCCAUCAAUUGCAUCAGGCAUAGAAGUGGUACUUUAUUUUCAUGGAACAAGUAAUAGGUUUACUUCCCUGCUGAAAAGAGAAGAAAGAAAACACAACGUUUCGGCCGUGGAGCCUUCUUCAGGUGUCAUUUUUUUUACACACUAGCUUUGCCCUGUACAUUGAAUAGGGAGUGUCAGUUUCUGGGUGGUUACCCAGCACUUGGUCCUUCGCUGUGCAGCUAGCAGGGCUGUCUGUUCCAAGAAGCUGUUAAUAUCAAUUGAAUUCAAACCCGCUGUAGCAACUUAAAAAAGCUUUAUAUAAUCUCAGUGACAUAAUGAAGAUGUUCCCCCACUAAUUAAAUGUAACUGGGAGGCACAGUGGUGCAGUGGUCAGUACUGCUGCCUUGCAGCGCUGGGGCCCUGCAUUCAGUUCUGGGCCUGAUGAGCUGUCUGUGUGGAGUCUGCAUGUUCUCUCCCCGGGUUCAUGAGGGUUUCCUCCUGGUGCUCAGGUUCUCUCACAGUCCACACACUGGUAGGUCAACUGGCCUCUGAGAAAGGGGCCACAGUGUUGCGUGUGCCCUGCCAUGGACUGGUACCCCACCUUGUCUGCCUGGACAGGCCCCGGCUCCCAGAUGACACUGUACUGGGAGAAGCGAUGAGAAAAUGGAUGGAUGGGUAACGCAACGGGAUCCGAGCUCAAAUUAAGAAGUCUGCGCUGGGUUUUCAUUAACUUUAUUUGGUCCCUCCAUCGGCAACCAAUUAACUAUAUAAAAAAGCAAAUAUAGGAGGAACACCUCCAUCUUUCGCGUCUACUUCCGGGUUCCCAAAUUCACCUGCAUCCCAUGUGACCAAACCCCAUAAGUCACAUGACCGCGCGGCGCAGAGACUCGACGUCGCUCGCGAGUCUGGGGAGCUGGUGCCGAGUUUAGAUAAAUCAAAUGUCAACUUUGGAGUUUGGGUUAUCUCUCUAUAACCCUGGACGAAAUACGUAUUGGAUAUGUAGAAAUCGUGUUGCCCACGACAAGCAGGCUCAGAGGACGUUGCCGUGGUGAAGUUCAGGACUGUGAGCAGGGCAGAACCCUCUAGGGUGGGAUGUGGACAGAUCAGAAAUGGGGAAAAGGUCGUUCUGUCAAAAGAAAUUUCCAAUUAAGCCCUCAACCACAGACAAACCACAAAUGACUAUUGGACCUCGCCACACCGUCUCUGCGCAUUGCUUUGAAAUAAAGGUAUCCUUCUGAAUGAGACCCUUCAUUUUGGAAGAUUUCUUCAGUGAGUCUUUUAACACUUACACUGCAGUAAUCAUCUUUGUUCUCAGGCUGAUGUUUGAUACGGUAUGCUGUACUGUAGCUGUGAUUGGAUUCCUUUGAAAAUAAAACUAAGUACAGUUGUGUUUUCACACUGAACUAUAAUAACAUUGUGCAUGGCAACUGUACAAGAAGAUUCGCAGUAGAACUAAGGACAAGAAUCAGGUCCGGAACUGUUUGUUCACAAUAAAGGUUCUUGGUGAUGACAUUUUGUAAUUAAAUGUACAGGGUGUGUCGUUAUGCUGAACUUGAAAUAGCAUACCACUCCACAUGUGUACAUAUCGUGGACAGUUUUCAUUUUUUUCUGCUGUGGUUUUGGGGUAAAUUAUUUACUAUGCAUUUUGUAAAUGUUCUGUCAAAAAGAAAGAUUGCUCUGAAAGGACUUAUAAAGACUGAUGCUAAUCCACAACUGAGAUCAUUGCAACACUGGUAUUCAGACAGCACGAAUCCCCCAAAACUAUCCCUUUCAUUAACAGACCAAGUGGAUCUUAAUUAUUUUGUAAAUCUUGACCUAUUGGCUGAAUUCAAUUUCUUUCUGUUUAGUUGUUAGUGUGGUGAGCUUCAUUUCUUAUUAGUGCAGUACUGAAAUUGAAAUUAAAAUCUCCAUCAUCCAACACACAGCUGUGUCUCAGAACCACCCCCCAUCCAGAAAUAAGUCCCUUUUCUUGGAAACGUUUAACUUCUCCUGCAGUUCACUAAACCCCUCUAACAGUGUUGAAGACAGAAUAGCAGAAGGUCUAUAUAAGCCUAAUAUAGUUAUGUCACUCCAUAAAUAUUUAGAAUAUAUUGAAAACAAGGCUAUCAGACUGGAAUAAAUCCAAGAAAGAGCUGUGUUUGUCAGAAACUUGAACAAAGCUAAGAGAGGUGCCUGCAGGUACUGUUCAUGAAUUUAAUUAGUGUUUUUUUGUCUCUGCAACACAACUGUUCUGUUGUACUGUACAGUGCAGCACAAUUAAUGUUAUUCAUUUCGAAAAGUCACAUGCUGAUUUAAUGAAAAGCUCCAAUGUUUUUGCUUCCUAUAAAAUAAGAUUCACUUAUAUGGAUUUCCAGUCAGAUUCUGUUGAUACCUACAAUUCUACAUAACCUAAGUACAGUACUAUUUAUCCAAGCAGUUAAUAUGUGUAUGUACAGCAUGAUCUAGAUAAAUCCCAUUAAUUCUGUUUCAUUUUCUUAAAUUCACUUUAUUCCUUAAAGCAAAACUUGCGUGUGUUCAUCAGACACUGCCCACGCUUAUAGUUUCUGUCUUCGCUAGGAAUGAGGUUGAGAUGAGACAGCUAAAUCACCCCAUAAAUAUUUAAGCCUAAAGAAGAAGGCAGUUGAGCUGGAAUACAUCCAAUUCAGAAAAUGUAGCUGUCAGGAUGAAGAGUGAACU
Lepisosteus oculatus (spotted gar) is the source of this 3985-nucleotide long non-coding RNA. RefSeq lists it as uncharacterized. NCBI's taxonomy places the organism in Eukaryota, Metazoa, Chordata, Actinopteri, Semionotiformes, Lepisosteidae. The record is from RefSeq and is a predicted model, not a curated record.